UCAAAAUAAGUCAAUUCGAGCUGUGAGGCAAAUACAUCUACUACAAGCAUUCCCACUGGCAACACCUCAAGUCCUUAAAGAAAUAUUUACUUUACGUUAAUUGAAUCGCUUAAUUAAUUGCUUUGGCAUGUUUUAAUGAACUCUUAAAUGAAAAUUUUAUACGCUCGGAAGGCAAUCGAUUCCAUAAGAAAGUCAAAGUUGAAUUAUUGAACAGCCACAAAGUCGCCUAUUAGUAGCAAACUCAAAUAAUCACAGUAAUAAUAUGAUUUGGCAACAACGCCCAGUGCAGCUGUGUGCGCUUAGUUGCGAGUCUACAAUUCGGUCAAUUGCGCCUGUAUGCAGCAGUGGAGUAGAAAUGAAAAUCAAUGGUCCUUCAAUGGCUUCUAAGUAAAACACAUGCCGGUGGGCAGUAAGUGAUGGCUUAUUUUAAAGCGAAUUAAUUGAAAGUCAUGGAAAAUAAGUUUGCUGCUGCUUUGACAAAAUUUCAUGCUACAGGUCAAACCAAAAUAUGAUACAUAUGGAUAUGAGGAAAUGAAUGUGAAUAUUAAUACUAUAUUUGUCGCCUUAA
Anastrepha obliqua is the source of this 568-nucleotide long non-coding RNA. RefSeq lists it as uncharacterized. The transcript has 3 exons. The record is from RefSeq and is a predicted model, not a curated record. Lineage: Eukaryota; Metazoa; Arthropoda; Insecta; Diptera; Tephritidae.